GAAGGCUAAAACAGUCAGGAUGUUGGCUUAGAAGCAGCCAUCAUUUAAAGAAAGCGUAAUAGCUCACUAGUCGAGUCGGCCUGCGCGGAAGAUGUAACGGGGCUAAGCGAUGUACCGAAGCUGCGGGUGCAUAGCAAUAUGCGCGGUAGAGGAGCGUUCCGUAAGCCUGCGAAGGUGACUCGAAAGGGUUGCUGGAGGUAU
RNAcentral lists this ribosomal RNA (201 nucleotides) under Aureoumbra lagunensis. RNAcentral's name for it is "partial Bacterial large subunit ribosomal RNA". It matches the Rfam family "Bacterial large subunit ribosomal RNA", at positions 1079 to 1282 of the family's 2925-position model. The record is from RNAcentral. Lineage: Eukaryota; Pelagophyceae; Sarcinochrysidales; Sarcinochrysidaceae.